AUUUGCUAAUCCAAGCUAUUAGAUGGAUGACUUGGUUCAGGAGCCGAAGAAGGACGCAGCAAGUUGCGAUAAUGAUGCGGUAGGCGCAGACGACCGUUGAUCGCAUCGUUUCUGAAUGCGUGAUGCCUAUGCGUAAGCAUAGAUUCUUUUCUUUACGGAAAGAAAGGGAACGCAGGGAACUAAAACAUUUUAGUACCUGCAGGAAAAGAAAUCAAUAGAGAUUCCCCUAGUAAUGGCGAACGAAAAGGGAAGAGGGCGAACCGAAUCUGCAGCAAUGCAGAAAUGUGGUGUGGUUAAUGGCUGUGCGGAGAAAAACAAACUUGUCUGGAAUGACGGGCCAAAGAGAGUGACAGCCUCGUAGUUUUUUAAUGCACGGUCAUCAUACAGAGUAGCAGAGGUCAAUACUCUUCUGUGAAAAUAGGUGUCAAAAACAUCUAACCCUAAAUACUACCUGAAACCGAUAGCGCAGAGUAGCGUGAGCGAAAGUUGAAAAGCACUCUCGACGAGAGGGUGAAAAGAACCUGAAAUCUAAUAGUUAUAGUUGUUGCGGCACGUUGUGAACCUGUGAAUAAAUAAACAGGCUCAAGUGUUGCAACAUCCUUUUAGCAUAAAGGGGCAGGGAGUUUAUGAGCAUGGCAAGGCUAACGAAAGGAAGCCGGAGCGAAAGCGAGUGCCGCGAGGCACUGGUAGGAAACUGCCAUAAGUCAUGUUUGUAAGACCCGAAGCCGCGCGAUCUAUACCUGGGCAGGCCGAAGUAGGGAUUACUCUCUAUGGAGGGCCGACCUGGUCGGUAACUACAUCGUCAGUUGACCUGGGUAUAGGGGCGAAAAACCAAUCGUGCGCGGCGAUAGCUGGUUCCCAUCGAAAUAUCCCAUAGGAUAGCUUAUACCCGAAUUUUAAAAGAGGUAAAGACACUGAUUGUGUUGGUAGGAGCCGAAAGGCUCCACAACAUUGUCAAACUCAGAAUUCCUUUAAAAAUAGGUAUAAGUUGGGUGUAUGGCGUAAAGUUUUACACCGAGAAGGAAACAACCUAGCCAUGAGUUAAGGCCCUUAAAUGUUUACUAAGUGCAAAAAAGAGGAAUCAUUUCUAAAACAGUUGGGAGGUGGGCUCAGAAGCGGCCAUCCUUCAAAAAGUGUGUUACAACUUACCAACCUAGAUAUGGUAACUCGAAAAUGGACGGGGCUAAGUAAGCUGCCGAAACUCAUGAUUUUGAUAAAAGUUUAUCAAAAAUGGUAGAUGGGCGUACCUGCAGACUAGAAGUCUUUUCGUGAGGGAAGAUGGAUCUGUAAGGUAUUGAGAAUCCUGCCAGGAGUAGCAAAUAAAUGGGUGAGAAUCCCAUCCGCCGCAUGUGCAAGGGUUCCUUGUUUUAAGAUUAUCUAACAAGGGUUAGUCGGUCCUAAGUUUUGCGUCGAAAGGUGCAAGGCAAAUGGGAAUGCGUUUAAUAUUACGCAACCACGGCGGUUUUACCGUUUAUUACGCGUUGAGAUAAGUGGAGUGGUCCAGUCAGAUUAUAUAUAGAUGCGAUGCAUUCGAGAGACGUAAUGUCGAGAAGAUGCAGAAGCGUUUAUAAUGUAGCAAUACAUCCAUUGAUUCCCGGCGCCCAUGAAAAUGUAAACGUUAUGAACCGAAGUGACCGUACCGAAAACUGACACAGGUGCACUGGCUGAGAAGGCUAAGGCGAGGGAUUUAAACAGGGUAAGGGAAAUCGGCAAGUUAGUCCCGUAAGUUCGCAAUAAGGGAUCCCUGAUUUGGUCUUAAAAGCUAAAUCAGGGCGCAGUGACGAAGGGAGUCUAACUGUUUACUAAAAGCAUAGCUGGCUGCUAGAGAGCAAUCUUUUGUACAGCCGGCGACAUCUGCCCAGCAUAGGUAUCCGAAAAUCUGUUUCAACGGGUAUAAGGACCUAUUAGCGGCGGAGGUAACUGUGACCUUCUUAAGCAAGCAUAAUCCAUUGCCAAUUGAUUGUUGGCUUGUGAACGAUGUAAUGAGAUUCCCGCUGUCCCUACCUUGAAACCCGCGAAACCACCGUCCUGGUGCAAAGGCCAGGGACCUCCACUGGGUCAAAAAGACCCCAGGAACUUUACUGCAGUCUCUUGUUGUGGUACUAAGUUGAUAGGCAUAGAGUAGGUAGCAGGCGUUAUGCUCAUUGUUCCGGCAAUGAGAUAGCCGAAAGUGUAACACUACCCUUAUUGACUUAUACCACUUACCUUCGGGAACAGCAGGAGAUGGGCAGUUUUGCUGGGGUGGCAAUCCCACGAAAAGAUAACAUGGGAGCCCAAAGGUCAUCUUAAGUGGCAUAGAAAUCCACUGUUAAGUGCAAUGGCAAAAGAUGGCUUGACUGCGCACUACAAAGCAAAGUGCACAGAGGCGAAAGCCGGGCAUAGCGAACACGAAUGCGUGUUUUUUUGACUCCUUCGUAUGACAGAAAAGCUACCCUGGGCGUAAGAGAGUUGUUGCGGAUGAUAGUUCAUAUUGACUUCGCAGCUUGCUCCACAGUCUUUGGCUCUCCCCAUCCUGGUUGUGCACAAGCAGCCAAGGGUACAGGUGUUCACUGGUUAAAGGGGACCGUGAGCUGAGUUUAGGCCGCCGCGAGGCAGGCCGGUAGUUAACUAGUGGAGGUGGUCGAUGCCUGAAUGGAAGAUUCGACUAGUACGAAAGGAACAGCGAUUCGGCGUCACUAGUUAGCGGUUAUCCGACAGGGUACGCCGCGUAGCCACACGCUAUGGGAUAAGAGCUGAAGGCAUCUAAGCUCGAAACCCUCCGUAAAAAUAGGCAUCGUUGAGGCUGGGGAAGAAGACCCCGUUGAUAGAAUCGGCGUGUAAGGACCAAGGCGAAAGCCGAGAUCUUCAGCGCACGAUUACUAAUCAGCCAAAACUUUGUAAAU
This is a non-coding RNA of Candidatus Parvarchaeum acidiphilum ARMAN-4, 2882 nucleotides long. The record is from Rfam. Lineage: Archaea; Nanobdellati; Candidatus Parvarchaeota.